GGGGAUGGAAAACUUGUUUGAUAUGCCUAAAUUGCAUGCUACUUUGAUACCUCAAAAUUUACAAGAUAAGGAGACACUCUAAACAAAACUAUUUGCUGCGUUAUUUCAUUUCAUUGCAACCAUUUUAGAGUACAACAUCAUAAUUUCAAAGUCCAUGCGAAAUUACAAAGGAAAAAAGAUGAAGAAGAAAAAUACAAUUAUUCGGUAUAUGCAUAAAAACUAAAUGACAUCUCGUGGAACAUUCUAACAUAAUAAGCAUAUUAUAAAAUUUCUACACAUUGGCCUUUACGACACCUAAUAUUAUGUGGUGGCUUUUUUGGACAAUCUUUAUCCGUUUUACAAGGUUUAUUAACAAUGCCGGGAAUAUAACCAUAUACUGUUAUGGAAAGAAAUAUGGAAAUAAAUAGAAUAAGAACAUAAACAUAGUUUAGAGUUUUGGCCAUAUU
This 446-nucleotide long non-coding RNA is filed under the name Medicago truncatula (barrel medic). RNAcentral's name for it is "lncRNA gene40352". The record is from RNAcentral. Lineage: Eukaryota; Viridiplantae; Streptophyta; Magnoliopsida; Fabales; Fabaceae.